GUGGCCAAGUUUUUAAGGGCGCACGGUGGAUGCCUUGGCACCAGGAACCGAUGAAGGACGUGGGAGGCCACGAUAGUCCCCGGGGAGUCGUCAACCAGGCUUUGAUCCGGGGGUUUCCGAAUGGGGAAACCCGGCAGUCGUCAUGGGCUGUCACCCGCUGCUGAACACAUAGGCAGUGUGGAGGGAACGCGGGGAAGUGAAACAUCUCAGUACCCGCAGGAAGAGAAAACAACCGUGAUUCCGGGAGUAGUGGCGAGCGAAACCGGAUGAGGCCAAACCGUAUGCGUGUGAGACCCGGCAGGGGUUGCGCAUGCGGGGUUGUGGGAUCUCUCUUCCACGGUCUGCCGGCCGUGGGACGAGUCAGAAACCGUUGAUGUAGGCGAAGGACAUGCGAAAGGUCCGGCGUAGAGGGUAAGACCCCCGUAGUCGAAACGUCAGCGGCUCGUUUGAGAGACACCCAAGUAGCACGGGGCCCGAGAAAUCCCGUGUGAAUCUGGCGGGACCACCCGCUAAGCCUAAAUAUUCCCUGGUGACCGAUAGCGGAUAGUACCGUGAGGGAAUGGUGAAAAGUACCGCGGGAGCGGAGUGAAAUAGUACCUGAAACCGUGUGCCUACAAGCCGUGGGAGCGUCGGAUAUGUGCUUGCACAUAUCUCGUGACUGCGUGCCUUUUGAAGAAUGAGCCUGCGAGUUUGCGGUGUGUUGCGAGGUUAACCCGGGUGGGGUAGCCGUAGCGAAAGCGAGUCCGAAUAGGGCGUUUCAGUAGCACGCUCAAGACCCGAAGCGGAGUGAUCUAGCCAUGGGCAGGUUGAAGCGGAGGUAAGACUUCGUGGAGGACCGAACCCACCAGGGUUGAAAACCUGGGGGAUGACCUGUGGUUAGGGGUGAAAGGCCAAUCAAACUCCGUGAUAGCUGGUUCUCCCCGAAAUGCAUUUAGGUGCAGCGUCGUGUGUUUCUUGCCGGAGGUAGAGCACUGGAUAGGCGAUGGGCCCUACCGGGUUACUGACCUUAGCCAAACUCCGAAUGCCGGUAAGUGAGAGCGCGGCAGUGAGACUGUGGGGGAUAAGCUCCAUGGUCGAGAGGGAAACAGCCCAGAGCAUCGACUAAGGCCCCUAAGCGUACGCUAAGUGGGAAAGGAUGUGGAGUCGCAGAGACAACCAGGAGGUUGGCUUAGAAGCAGCCACCCUUGAAAGAGUGCGUAAUAGCUCACUGGUCUAGUGAUUCCGCGCCGACAAUGUAGCGGGGCUCAAGCGUACCGCCGAAGUCGUGUCAUUGCAGCAA
Molecule: ribosomal RNA, 1279 nt
Filed under: Streptomyces sp. BK205
Lineage: Bacteria; Bacillati; Actinomycetota; Actinomycetes; Kitasatosporales; Streptomycetaceae
Description: partial 23S ribosomal RNA
Rfam family: Bacterial large subunit ribosomal RNA
Source: RNAcentral